Molecule: transfer RNA, 62 nt
Filed under: Alligator mississippiensis (American alligator)
Lineage: Eukaryota; Metazoa; Chordata; Crocodylia; Alligatoridae
Source: Rfam by way of RNAcentral
UGGUUCAGCAUCCUUGGUAGAACCUCUGUCUACCACGCAGAAGACCUGGGUUCAAUUCCCAG